This 794-nucleotide ribosomal RNA is filed under the name uncultured Gammaproteobacteria bacterium. RNAcentral describes it as "bacterial SSU rRNA". It matches the Rfam family "Bacterial small subunit ribosomal RNA", at positions 72 to 861 of the family's 1533-position model. Lineage: Bacteria; Pseudomonadati; Pseudomonadota; Gammaproteobacteria. The record is from RNAcentral.
UUGGGUGCUUGCACCUAAUCUUAGCGGCGGACGGGUGAGUAAUGCUUAGGAAUCUGCCAUUUAGUGGGGGACAACAUUCCGAAAGGGAUGCUAAUACCGCAUACGUCCUACGGGAGCAAAGCAGGGGAUCUUCGGACCUUGCGCUAAAUGAUGAGCCUAAGUCGGAUUAGCUAGUUGGUGGGGUAAAGGCCUACCAAGGCGACGAUCUGUAGCGGGUCUGAGAGGAUGAUCCGCCACACUGGGACUGAGACACGGCCCAGACUCCUACGGGAGGCAGCAGUGGGGAAUAUUGGACAAUGGGCGCAAGCCUGAUCCAGCCAUGCCGCGUGUGUGAAGAAGGCCUUUGGUUGUAAAGCACUUUAAGCGAGGAGGAGGCUACCUGGAUUAAUACUCUAGGAUAGUGGACGUUACUCGCAGAAUAAGCACCGGCUAACUCUGUGCCAGCAGCCGCGGUAAUACAGAGGGUGCGAGCGUUAAUCGGAUUUACUGGGCGUAAAGCGUGCGUAGGCGGCUGAUUAAGUCGGAUGUGAAAUCCCUGAGCUUAACUUAGGAAUUGCAUUCGAUACUGGUCAGCUAAGAGUAUGGGAGAGGAUGGUAGAAUUCCAGGUGUACAGGUGAAAUGCGUAGAGAUCUGGAGGAAUACCGAUGGCGAAGGCAUCCAUCUGGCCUAAUACUGACGCUGAGGUACGAAAGCAUGGGGAGCAACAGGAUUAGAUACCCUGGUAGUCCAUGCCGUAAACGAUGCUCCUAGCCAUUGGGGCCAUUUGAGGCUUUAGUGGCGCAGCUAACGCGAU